GCAAGUCUGGUGCCAACAGCGGCGGUAAUUCCAGCUCCAAUAGCGUAUAUUAAAGUUGUUGCAGUUAAAAAGCUCGUAGUUGAAUUUCGGGAUCAAUAUUUCGGUCAUGCCGUUGGUAUGCACUGUUAUCAUUGAUUUCUCACCUUCUAAAGAACCAUAAUGCCAUUAAUUUGGUGUUACGGGGAAUUAGGACUGUUACCUUGAAAAAAUUAGAGUGUUUAAAGCAGGCUCACGCUUGAAUACAUUAGCAUGGAAUAAUGAAAUAGGACAUCCGAUUCUAUUUUGUUGGUUUCUAGGAUCGAUGUAAUGAUUAAUAGGGAUAGUUGGGGGCAUUAGUAUUCAAUUGUCAGAGGUGAAAUUCUUGGAUUUAUUGAAGACUAACUACUGCGAAAGCAUUUGCCAAGGAUGUUUUCAUUAAUCAAGAACGAAAGUUAGGGGAUCGAAGACGAUCAGAUACCGUCGUAGUCUUAACCAUAAACUAUGCCGACUAGGGAUCGGAUGAUGUUAAUUUUUUAAUGACUCAUUCGGCGCCUUACGGGAAAC
RNAcentral lists this ribosomal RNA (543 nucleotides) under uncultured Glomeromycotina. Its description in RNAcentral is "SSU rRNA". It matches the Rfam family "Eukaryotic small subunit ribosomal RNA", at positions 555 to 1098 of the family's 1831-position model. Lineage: Eukaryota; Fungi; Glomeromycota. The record is from RNAcentral.